This 301-nucleotide ribosomal RNA is filed under the name uncultured bacterium. Its description in RNAcentral is "partial 16S ribosomal RNA". It matches the Rfam family "Archaeal small subunit ribosomal RNA", at positions 459 to 761 of the family's 1478-position model. The record is from RNAcentral.
CAGUAGCCGCGGGAAAACCAGCACCUCGAGUGGUCAGGAGGUUUAUUGGGCCUAAAGCAUCCGUAGCCGGUUGCAUAAGUUUUCGGUUAAAUCUAUGCGCUUAACGUAUAGGCCGCCGAAAAUACUGUGCAGCUAGGGAGUGGGAGAGGUACACGGUACUCGAUAGGAAGGGGUAAAAUCCUUUGAUCUAUUGAUGACCACCUGUGGCGAAGGCGGUGUACCAGAACACGUUCGACGGUAAGGGAUGAAAGCUGGGGGAGCAAACCGGAUUAGAUCCCCUGUAGUCCCUGUCUCUUAUACC